Molecule: non-coding RNA, 124 nt
Organism: Odocoileus virginianus texanus
Lineage: Eukaryota; Metazoa; Chordata; Mammalia; Artiodactyla; Cervidae
Source: RefSeq, a predicted model, not a curated record
CCCUCUCUCGGAGCGCCACUGGGGUGGAACCGCGAUCAGCCGAGCCCUGGGGCUCUGGCCUCCGCGACGUUCAGCUGCCCCACCGGUAGUUCAUGGCAAAUCUUGUAAUUAAGCAUGGGAUAUG